This 284-nucleotide long non-coding RNA is filed under the name Sorghum bicolor (sorghum). Its description in RNAcentral is "long non-coding RNA (SBIC_LNC017453)". Lineage: Eukaryota; Viridiplantae; Streptophyta; Magnoliopsida; Poales; Poaceae. The record is from RNAcentral.
ACGCUCAACUAGUCCACACCGGACGCGUCCGGUGCUCACCGGACUCGUGCGCAGAGAGCUCCGCAAAGUCGCACGGUCACCGGACGCAAGGCACCGGACGCACCCUGAGCGUCCGGUGCUCACCGGACUCAUGCGCAGUGAGGGUCGCCAAACCGCUCGCACACCGGACGCUGAGCACCGGACUCUCUCCGGUGCGUCCGGUGCACUCUGCUGCACCCGACAGCACACCGGACGCUAAAGGCCAGCGUCCGGUGCCUCCACGCAGAGCGUCCGGUGAGUGUUUC